This 346-nucleotide ribosomal RNA is filed under the name uncultured eukaryote. RNAcentral's name for it is "SSU rRNA". It matches the Rfam family "Eukaryotic small subunit ribosomal RNA", at positions 594 to 945 of the family's 1831-position model. The record is from RNAcentral.
AUAGCGUAUAUUAAAGUUGUUGCAGUUAAAAAGCUCGUAGUUGAACUUCAGGCCUGACCGGGUGGUCCGCCUAACGGCGUGUACUGUCUGGCCGGGCCUUACCUCUUGGUGAGCCGGCAUGCCCUUCACUGGGUGUGUCGGGGAACCAGGACCUUUACCUUGAGAAAAUUAGAGUGUUCAAAGCAGGCUUACGCCGGAAUACAUUAGCAUGGAAUAAUAAAAUAGGACGUGCGGUUCUAUUUUGUUGGUUUCUAGAGUCGCCGUAAUGAUUAAUAGGGAUAGUUGGGGGCAUUUGUAUUGCGUUGCUAGAGGUGAAAUUCUUGGAUUUACGCAAGACAAACUAUUG